GAUGAACGCUGGCGGCGUGCCUAAUACAUGCAAGUCGAGGGGCAUCACAUGAAGCAGCAAUGCGGAUGGUGGCGACCGGCGCACGGGUGAGUAACACGUAUGCAACCUGCCUUCAACAAGGGCAUAACCCGUUGAAAGACGGACUAAUUCCCUAUGACACAGGGGUCCCGCAUGGGGAUAUUUGUUAAAGAUUUUAUCGGUUGAAGAUGGGCAUGCGUUCCAUUAGCUUGUUGGCGGGGUAACGGCCCACCAAGGCAACGAUGGAUAGGGGAACUGAGAGGUUUAUCCCCCACACUGGUACUGAGACACGGACCAGACUCCUACGGGAGGCAGCAGUGAGGAAUAUUGGUCAAUGGACGCAAGUCUGAACCAGCCACGUCGCGUGAAGGAAGACGGCCCUACGGGUUGUAAACUUCUUUUAUACGGGAAUAAAGUGCCCCACGUGUGGGGUUUUGCAUGUACCGUAUGAAUAAGGAUCGGCUAACUCCGUGCCAGCCGCCGCGGUAA
This 507-nucleotide ribosomal RNA is filed under the name uncultured bacterium. RNAcentral's name for it is "partial 16S ribosomal RNA". It matches the Rfam family "Bacterial small subunit ribosomal RNA", at positions 28 to 523 of the family's 1533-position model. The record is from RNAcentral.